Molecule: ribosomal RNA, 2927 nt
Filed under: Salmonella enterica
Lineage: Bacteria; Pseudomonadati; Pseudomonadota; Gammaproteobacteria; Enterobacterales; Enterobacteriaceae
Also listed under: 1 other name
Description: bacterial LSU rRNA
Rfam family: Bacterial large subunit ribosomal RNA
Source: RNAcentral
GGGUUGUGAGGUUAAGCGACUAAGCGUACACGGUGGAUGCCCUGGCAGUCAGAGGCGAUGAAGGGCGUGCUAAUCUGCGAUAAGCGCCGGUAAGGUGAUAUGAACCGUUAUAACCGGCGAUACCCGAAUGGGGAAACCCAGUGUGAUUCGUCACACUAUCAUUAACUGAAUCCAUAGGUUAAUGAGGCGAACCGGGGGAACUGAAACAUCUAAGUACCCCGAGGAAAAGAAAUCAACCGAGAUUCCCCCAGUAGCGGCGAGCGAACGGGGAGGAGCCCAGAGCCUGAAUCAGCAUGUGUGUUAGUGGAAGCGUCUGGAAAGGCGCGCGAUACAGGGUGACAGCCCCGUACACAAAAGCGCAUGUGUUGUGAGCUCGAUGAGUAGGGCGGGACACGUGGUAUCCUGUCUGAAUAUGGGGGACCAUCCUCCAAGGCUAAAUACUCCUGACUGACCGAUAGUGAACCAGUACCGUGAGGGAAAGGCGAAAAGAACCCCGGCGAGGGGAGUGAAAAAGAACCUGAAACCGUGUACGUACAAGCAGUGGGAGCACAGGUUUACCUGUGUGACUGCGUACCUUUUGUAUAAUGGGUCAGCGACUUAUAUUCUGUAGCAAGGUUAACCGCAUAGGGGAGCCGGAGGGAAACCGAGUCUUAAUUGGGCGUUAAGUUGCAGGGUAUAGACCCGAAACCCGGUGAUCUAGCCAUGGGCAGGUUGAAGGUUGGGUAACACUAACUGGAGGACCGAACCGACUAAUGUUGAAAAAUUAGCGGAUGACCUGUGGCUGGGGGUGAAAGGCCAAUCAAACCGGGAGAUAGCUGGUUCUCCCCGAAAGCUAUUUAGGUAGCGCCUCGUGAAUUCAUCUCCGGGGGUAGAGCACUGUUUCGGCUAGGGGGCCAUCCCGGCUUACCAACCCGAUGCAAACUGCGAAUACCGGAGAAUGUUAUCACGGGAGACACACGGCGGGUGCUAACGUCCGUCGUGAAGAGGGAAACAACCCAGACCGCCAGCUAAGGUCCCAAAGUCAUGGUUAAGUGGGAAACGAUGUGGGAAGGCCCAGACAGCCAGGAUGUUGGCUUAGAAGCAGCCAUCAUUUAAAGAAAGCGUAAUAGCUCACUGGUCGAGUCGGCCUGCGCGGAAGAUGUAACGGGGCUAAACCAUGCACCGAAGCUGCGGCAGCGACACUGUGUGUUGUUGGGUAGGGGAGCGUUCUGUAAGCCUGUGAAGGUGGCCUGUGAGGGUUGCUGGAGGUAUCAGAAGUGCGAAUGCUGACAUAAGUAACGAUAAAGCGGGUGAAAAGCCCGCUCGCCGGAAGACCAAGGGUUCCUGUCCAACGUUAAUCGGGGCAGGGUGAGUCGACCCCUAAGGCGAGGCCGAAAGGCGUAGUCGAUGGGAAACGGGUUAAUAUUCCCGUACUUGGUGUUACUGCGAAGGGGGGACGGAGAAGGCUAUGUUGGCCGGGCGACGGUUGUCCCGGUUUAAGCGUGUAGGUGUGUGUUCCAGGUAAAUCCGGUUCACUUUAACACUGAGGCGUGAUGACGAGGCACUACGGUGCUGAAGCAACAAAUGCCCUGCUUCCAGGAAAAGCCUCUAAGCAUCAGGUAACAUCAAAUCGUACCCCAAACCGACACAGGUGGUCAGGUAGAGAAUACCAAGGCGCUUGAGAGAACUCGGGUGAAGGAACUAGGCAAAAUGGUGCCGUAACUUCGGGAGAAGGCACGCUGACACGUAGGUGAAGUGAUUUACUCAUGGAGCUGAAGUCAGUCGAAGAUACCAGCUGGCUGCAACUGUUUAUUAAAAACACAGCACUGUGCAAACACGAAAGUGGACGUAUACGGUGUGACGCCUGCCCGGUGCCGGAAGGUUAAUUGAUGGGGUCAGCGCAAGCGAAGCUCCUGAUCGAAGCCCCGGUAAACGGCGGCCGUAACUAUAACGGUCCUAAGGUAGCGAAAUUCCUUGUCGGGUAAGUUCCGACCUGCACGAAUGGCGUAAUGAUGGCCAGGCUGUCUCCACCCGAGACUCAGUGAAAUUGAACUCGCUGUGAAGAUGCAGUGUACCCGCGGCAAGACGGAAAGACCCCGUGAACCUUUACUAUAGCUUGACACUGAACAUUGAGCCUUGAUGUGUAGGAUAGGUGGGAGGCUUUGAAGUGUGGACGCCAGUCUGCAUGGAGCCGACCUUGAAAUACCACCCUUUAAUGUUUGAUGUUCUAACGUGGACCCGUAAUCCGGGUUGCGGACAGUGUCUGGUGGGUAGUUUGACUGGGGCGGUCUCCUCCUAAAGAGUAACGGAGGAGCACGAAGGUUGGCUAAUCCUGGUCGGACAUCAGGAGGUUAGUGCAAUGGCAUAAGCCAGCUUGACUGCGAGCGUGACGGCGCGAGCAGGUGCGAAAGCAGGUCAUAGUGAUCCGGUGGUUCUGAAUGGAAGGGCCAUCGCUCAACGGAUAAAAGGUACUCCGGGGAUAACAGGCUGAUACCGCCCAAGAGUUCAUAUCGACGGCGGUGUUUGGCACCUCGAUGUCGGCUCAUCACAUCCUGGGGCUGAAGUAGGUCCCAAGGGUAUGGCUGUUCGCCAUUUAAAGUGGUACGCGAGCUGGGUUUAGAACGUCGUGAGACAGUUCGGUCCCUAUCUGCCGUGGGCGCUGGAGAACUGAGGGGGGCUGCUCCUAGUACGAGAGGACCGGAGUGGACGCAUCACUGGUGUUCGGGUUGUCAUGCCAAUGGCACUGCCCGGUAGCUAAAUGCGGAAGAGAUAAGUGCUGAAAGCAUCUAAGCACGAAACUUGCCCCGAGAUGAGUUCUCCCUGAGACUUAAAGUCUCCUGAAGGAACGUUGAAGACGACGACGUUGAUAGGCCGGGUGUGUAAGCGCAGCGAUGCGUUGAGCUAACCGGUACUAAUGAACCGUGAGGCUUAACCUUACAACGCCGAAG